ACCGCUUGAUCUGCUCUACUCGAU
Molecule: non-coding RNA, 24 nt
Filed under: Arabidopsis thaliana (thale cress)
Lineage: Eukaryota; Viridiplantae; Streptophyta; Magnoliopsida; Brassicales; Brassicaceae
Source: RNAcentral